This 254-nucleotide ribosomal RNA is filed under the name uncultured bacterium. RNAcentral's name for it is "partial 16S ribosomal RNA". It matches the Rfam family "Bacterial small subunit ribosomal RNA", at positions 524 to 776 of the family's 1533-position model. The record is from RNAcentral.
UACGGGGGGAGCAAGCGUUGUUCGGAUUUACUGGGCGUAAAGGGCGCGUAGGCGGCCACCGCAAGUCGACUGUGAAAUCUCCGGGCUUAACCCGGAAAGGUCAGCCGAUACUGCGGGGCUAGAGUGCAGAAGGGGCAACUGGAAUUCUCGGUGUAGCGGUGAAAUGCGCAGAUAUCAGGAGGAACACCGGUGGCGAAGGCGGGUCUCUGGGCCGAUACUGACGCUGAGGAGCGAAAGCGUGGGGAGCGAACAGG